This 3367-nucleotide long non-coding RNA is filed under the name Hordeum vulgare. RNAcentral's name for it is "long non-coding RNA (HVUL_LNC013929)". Lineage: Eukaryota; Viridiplantae; Streptophyta; Magnoliopsida; Poales; Poaceae. The record is from RNAcentral.
GCAGAGCCCAAGGGGACGGCGUCGGAUGUAGCUAGUGGCGACACAUGGAUCUCCGGCAUCGACGGUGACUCAAUCCGCGGCAUUGGCUGCCGGCGGCGGUUAUGGAGGUGCCCAUCCUCCUGCACAUGCUCAUGUUUUUCUUGCCUCAGACUGCCCAAAUCACUGUGGAGCACGGCGAAACUCGUCCACCGUCGCACUUGACAGCCACUGUGAUGGGUUUCAAUACCAUUCCCUGUUGAAACCAAAAAAAACCCAGGUAUUAUUCAUUGCCUUUAUUCUUACUUUUUCGUUCUGGAGUAGGAGUAUUACUGAAGCAAGUACUACUACCUUAGGAUUACGAAAUCAGUUACCAANNNNNNNNNNUUGUGGAGCACGGCAAAACUCGUCCACCGUCGCACUUGACAGCCACUGUGAUGGGUUUCAAUACAAUUCCAUGUUGAAACAAAAAAAAACCCAGGUAUUAUUCAUUGCCUUUAUUCUUACUUUUUUGUUCUGGAGUAGGAGUGUUACUGAAGCAAGUACUACUACCUUAGGAUUACGAAAUCAGUUACCAAAUAAAGCAGGCAAUUUGUUCAUCCCCAUUACUUAUUUUUUUACGUCAGUACAGUUAAACAAAACACUAUCUCAAAAAGGCGCUACCUCAGAAUUACUGUUGAUCGUGAUCACAUCACAUCUCAAAUCGUUCAUAAGUUCCGACCAGUCAUAUCAACCCCAUUCAAAUCGUAAAACACACACUGAAUUGUGGCAUAAUCAUAGUCAAAAUCAGUCAAACGACUGCAAUAGACACUGAAUCUGCUCAGGGGAAAACAUAAUCAGGGAAACAAAUUGCUAAGGGAAAUAAAGUCUUUAAGUUCAGUUGCAAAUUUUCUUCAACCCGCUGCGUAGAGCCUCAUCUCACUUCGAUUUCACGAAUGAUAUAUCCCCACGGGAGCACAUCAUAUAGGGUUCUCUGCAGUCAUAAUAACUGCUCUUAGUACAUUCACUCAUAUAACCAGUGACAUUACACAUAAUAAAAACAAUGCUCAUGCAAAAUUAUAUUUCUCCUACAUUAUCCCAAUUUUCGAACAUUAUAAAGGGCAAUAGACGACAAUUCAAUGGACUAUCCUAAUUCGUUACUAGUAUCAUUUUGUCCACUUCUUCUGAAAGAAACACAAAUACGUAUAAUUUUAGAUAACCAAGAACGUAAAAAAGUAGGAACCUUAGUCUGCCUACGCCGUGUCCAUGGGCUGACUCUGGCUUCUCAGCUGCGUCCCUUGCACUUUCUUGAAUUUAGCAGUUAUACAUUCAGGUAGGCUUAGAUUUCCCAGCCACUGCGUCGCUUUCUUGAACAUAGUCUUUAUGCGCUUAAUCACCAUCUGAAAGAGAAAAAAAGAAUCAAAGGACAUAUGUAUGAUACCUUACUACUUUUUAAUUUGAAAUCAUCAGUCGUGAUCAAGAGGCAUUGUACCUCUGUCGGCUGAAAGUAAUUCAGCCAAAUGACCACCGUCAUGCACAAGACGACACAUGCAAAAGGCCAUACAACUGAUUUGGAAACACCUCUACAAACACACAGUGUUAUAAAUGGUGCUGCGCACAACCACAGAAGUAUUAAAAGCUGCACUAUUUGUAGGACUUUGAAUCCAAGAUUUUCAGGCAAUGCUCCCUCCUUGAAGCUUGAAGCAGGACCUAUCAGAAUAAGGCNNNNNNNNNNCCGGCUGAAAGUAAUUCAUCCAAAUGAUCACCGUCAUGCACAAGACUGCACAGGCAGAAGGCCAUACAACUGAUUUGGAAAUAUCUCUACAAACAUGCAGUGUUAUAAAUGAUGCUGAGCACAACCACAGAAGUAUUAAAAGCUGCGCUAUUUGGAGGAGUUUGAAUCCAAAACUGUCACGCAAUGCUCCCUCCUUGAAGCUUGAAGCAGGACCUAUCAGAAUAAGGCUGAUGAUGGUCACUACAAUGUGUGCUGUGGGAAUGAUGUCCUUCCAAGUGCCAAAAUUUGCAUUUGAGCAAAAUAAAGUCCAAUUAGGAAUGAGAAACCCUGAGCAAGCAAGUGAGGCGAUCGCAGUGUUCAAGACAAAACCAUGCCUACCCUGAGUUCAGACAAAGCAGUAAGAAAAAUUGGCGCAGCUACAGAGCUUUUGGUAUAGUCUAAUGCCAGGGAAAGGAUAAUCACCUUCAUUUUCUUCUCAUUCUCAUCAGAAUCAUUUUCAUCAUCAGGANNNNNNNNNNGAGUACAAGGUGUCCUGUGGGAAUGAUGUCCUUCCAAGUGUCAAAAUUUGCAUUUGAGCAAAAGAAAGUCCAAUAAGGAAUGAGAAACCCCAAGCAAGGAAGUGAGGCGAUUGCAGUGUUCAAGACGAAACCAUGCCUACCCUGAGUUCAGACAAAGCAGUAAGAAAAACUGGCACAACUACAGAGCUUUUGGUAUAGUUUAAUGUCACGAAAAGGAUAAUUACCUUCAUUUUCUUCUCAUUCUCAUCAGAAUCAUUUUCAUCAUCAGGAAUGCCUAUGCCAACAUGAUCAAUUGGACUGUUCGUUGCUCUCUUCUUCUGAAUCAACAAAACAAUACGUCAGAGAGCAAAAAACAAAACUAGGAGGAUAUGGACAGGGAGAGGAAAGAAAACGAUGCAAGUUGUUCUCACCGCUAUUUCCAUCCCAGUAUUUUUAUCAGAGUAACUGCUCCUAAAAUUCGUAGUGUUAUUUGGAACAAUUGGAACUAGUGCAUGUUCCUCAGCAUUUUUGCCACCAUGGUUGCUUGCCUCAGCUCCCACAGGAUUGCUAGCAUGCUGAGCAUUGACGAGUCGAUAAGACACAAUGUCAUUAUGUUCAUGACAUUGGGGCAACAAUAAAGGAAAUAAUCAAAGGGAAGUGGGAGCAUAUACCAUGCCGCUGGAAGGUUGACCCUCCACAUUGUCCUGAUAAAAGAAAAAAAAGUAGCAUCUUUUAAUUUAUGGCAAAGCGUCGCAAGCCAAAAGCAAGGAAGAGCAAGAAAAUGUGUAGUACACACUCCAACAGUAUAUAAGUUUUUUAAUAAAUAAACACCACAAAUUACAUAAAUGUAUACAAGUGGCUGAGCUUGAUGAAAAUGUUGUGGGGGCAGGAAAACAACCUAUAUAUGCUUAACCUUGGAAGCAGUUAGGUCACUGCAGGGAACUAGUGAUGGUGAUCCUAUGCAUGAGCUAAAGAGAGUACGCUUGAUUUAAAGUUGUGCUAAGCACAGUGAGAGGGGGUAACAUUCUCAAAGAUGAAUCCAUUCAUCUGCUUCCAGAUGUUCCAGGCUACAAUGUGAUGGCGUUUUCCAUGAAGUUAGGGCGGUUGAAAUUGGUUCUGGUCUCGAUCAAAUCUUCAAGGCUGUGCUAGUGCCCCAGUUCAUGUGGAUGCCCUCCCGACA